Molecule: long non-coding RNA, 530 nt
Organism: Gossypium arboreum
Lineage: Eukaryota; Viridiplantae; Streptophyta; Magnoliopsida; Malvales; Malvaceae
Exons: 2
Source: RefSeq, a predicted model, not a curated record
AAUAAGGCCAUGCUUGGUUCACUGUAAUAGUUAUGCCAUUACAACUCAAUUCUGCAGGCCCUCCACAAACCAAUGUUUGGUUGAGUGGAAUGCCUAUUAUGGUUAUAUUCCAUUACAGGCUUAUGGAGAGAAUAAGAGCCAUUUUUAUUCCCUUUCAUUCCCAUUGAAUGCUGAUUCGGUGCCCAAAGAAUUCCAUUUUACCCUCCUCACUUUCUCACCUAAAAAAUGUUCUCACUCAACUCAAUAACCACUCUCAAUCUCAGCCUCCCUUGCUUCAUUCUCCUCCGGCCACUAGCACUCCUCCCCUUCAUCGCAACAUCCUUCAGGGUUAUUGAAAAUGGAACAAGCAAAGAUUGGGUCGGGAACUGGGAGAGAGGCCUUUAACGUCCACUAUUGGAAACUUGGACUUUUGUUUGGAUUGUGAGAAAAUGAAAAAUGGAAACUUGGGGCUAUUAUCCCCACUUAAAUGAAAUGUCUUAGUCUUUCAUUUCUUCCAUCCAAAGAAAGAAAAGAACUUUUGUUUGUGAUGA